This 829-nucleotide unclassified non-coding RNA is filed under the name Hevea brasiliensis (rubber tree). The record is from RNAcentral. Lineage: Eukaryota; Viridiplantae; Streptophyta; Magnoliopsida; Malpighiales; Euphorbiaceae.
CCCCUUCAUCGCCCUCACUUUUCUAGAAACCUCCCUCUUUCGUUUGCGGCUCUCCCUGGAAGCCUCGCCGCCCUCCAUACCUGCACAAAGAAAAGUCAGUGAGUUUGCUAAGGUUCAGAGAUCAGAGAUGGGGAAUGUACCAGGGUGGAGGUCAGAGAGCUGGAGCUCGCAUCCUUCAUCGGUGAUCAGCCGCAUCAUCCAAUGUUUCAGCUCGACCAUCACCGCAUAUAAGCAAGAGAACUUCUUUGUAGCCUCCAGAUCCUUAGGUUCCAUUACCAUGGCACCCUGAUCCCUACUCAAAGCGAUCCUCUUCGGAAUUGGAGGGACCAGAUAUUGCCAGCUACGGGGGAAACCAUCGAAACCGUUCAGAAUCUUGCUCCUCAACAUGAAGAAGCGAUUUUUCUAAUUCUUCAGUGAGGAGGGGAGAUCGGUAAAAAGCCCACAGUGCGGUUUUGCCUAGAAGAACCAGUACUCGUCGUCCUUUCGGCGAGUAAGCCUAUGCAGCUCGGCAAAAACCUUCGCGGUAGGAUCGAGCUUCUUGGCCAGGCAUAAGCCUCUGAAAGUUAUUAGAAUUCACCACGAGUUCGGAUGUACUUGGGCUACACUUACGUGGUGAAACUUCAGAACAUCCUUGAAGAAGUCAUCAAGGGGAAAUCGAAGCCCGGCUUUUAAUUGCUCUUCGUACACCAUGAUCGCAUUAUUUUCAUCGAAAAAGUGAUCGGCUCGGAGAUCGCCAUGGCAUCUGAUGAGCUCGAAGGAGUCGGUCCGAAGGUUGUACUCUUGACUAAUCGACUGCAGAUCGGUUUCUUUAAGGAUUGACGGCAGUUCA